Molecule: ribosomal RNA, 483 nt
Filed under: uncultured bacterium
Lineage: Bacteria
Description: partial 16S ribosomal RNA
Rfam family: Bacterial small subunit ribosomal RNA
Source: RNAcentral
GACGAACGCUGGCGGCGUGCUUAACACAUGCAAGUCGAACGCUGAAGCUCAGCUUUUGUUGGGUGGAUGAGUGGCGAACGGGUGAGUAACACGUGAGUAACCUGCCUCCUUCUUUGGGAUAACGCCCGGAAACGGGUGCUAAUACUGGAUAUUCACUGGUCUUCGCAUGGGGGUUGGUGGAAAGGGCUUUUCUGGUGGGGGAUGGGCUCGCGGCCUAUCAGCUUGUUGGUGGGGUGAUGGCCUACCAAGGCGUUGACGGGUAGCCGGCCUGAGAGGGUGACCGGUCACAUUGGGACUGAGAUACGGCCCAGACUCCUACGGGAGGCAGCAGUGGGGAAUAUUGCACAAUGGGCGCAAGCCUGAUGCAGCGACGCCGCGUGAGGGAUGGAGGCCUUCGGGUUGUGAACCUCUUUCGCUCAUGGUCAAGCCGCAACAAUGGUUGUGGUGAGGGUAGUGGGUAAAGAAGCGCCGGCUAACUACGUG